RNAcentral lists this ribosomal RNA (302 nucleotides) under uncultured bacterium. RNAcentral describes it as "partial 16S ribosomal RNA". It matches the Rfam family "Bacterial small subunit ribosomal RNA", at positions 508 to 807 of the family's 1533-position model. The record is from RNAcentral.
GCAGUAGCCGCGGGAAUACGGAGGGGGCUAGCGUUGUUCGGAAUUACUGGGCGUAAAGCGCACGUAGGCGGCUUGGUAAGUUAGAGGUAAAAGCCUGGAGCUCAACUCCAGAAUUGCCUUUAAGACUGCCGAGCUAGCAGGUGAGAGAGGUAAGUGGAAUUCCGAGUGUAGAGGUGAAAUUCGUAGAUAUUCGGAAGAACACCAGUGGCGAAGGCGGCUUACUGGCUCAUACUGGACGCUGAGGUGCGAAAGCGUGGGGAGCAAACAGGAUUAGAUACCCGAGUAUUCCCUGUCUCUUAUAC